CACCCCAGCAAUAGGCAAAGAGACACCUUGAUGAUAGUGCUGUUCUCAUACCAGUCAGGGACAGAGCAGAUAGCAAUCCUUUGUUCAUCCUGGCUUGAUGUCUACUUUGGUGACCAAAGCUGUCUCAUACCUAGGAUUCAUAG
Small nucleolar RNA from Apodemus sylvaticus (European woodmouse), 143 nucleotides. RefSeq annotates it as small nucleolar RNA SNORA48. NCBI's taxonomy places the organism in Eukaryota, Metazoa, Chordata, Mammalia, Rodentia, Muridae. The transcript has a single exon. The record is from RefSeq and is a predicted model, not a curated record.